RNAcentral lists this ribosomal RNA (406 nucleotides) under uncultured bacterium. RNAcentral describes it as "partial 16S ribosomal RNA". It matches the Rfam family "Bacterial small subunit ribosomal RNA", at positions 30 to 526 of the family's 1533-position model. The record is from RNAcentral.
AUUGAACGCUGGCGGCAGGCCUAACACAUGCAAGUCGAACGAGUGGCGGACGGGUGAGUAAUGUCUGGGAAACUGCCUGAUGGAGGGGGAUAACUACUGGCAACGGUAGCUAAUACCGCAUACCAUCGGAUGUGCCCAGAUGGGAUUAGCUUGUGGGUGGGGUAACGGCUCACCAAGGCGACGAUCCCUAGCUGGUCUGCGAGGAUGACCAGCCACCCUGGAACGGAGACACGGUCCAUACUCCUACGGGAGGCAGAAGUGGGGAAUAUUGCACGAUGGGCGCAAGCCUGAUGCAGCCAUGCCGCGUUGAUGAAGAAGGCCUUCGGGUUGUAAAGUACGUUCAGCGGGGAGGCGUUACCCACAGAAGAAGCACCGGCUAACUCCGUGCCAGCAGCCGCGGUAAUAC